This 2225-nucleotide ribosomal RNA is filed under the name human gut metagenome. RNAcentral describes it as "bacterial LSU rRNA". It matches the Rfam family "Bacterial large subunit ribosomal RNA", at positions 14 to 2326 of the family's 2925-position model. The record is from RNAcentral.
AGAGCGCAAGGGGAAUGCCUUGGCAUCAAGAGCCGAUGAAGGACGUGACAAGCUGCGAUAAGCUGCGGGGAGCUGCACAUAAGCAUUGAUCCGCAGAUUUCCGAAUGGGGAAACCCGUCAGAGCAAUACUCUGACAACGUGCAUUGAACAAAAUAGGUGUACGUGGGGAACCGCCUGAACUGAAACAUCUAAGUAGGGCGAGGAAGAGAAAUCAAAAGAGAUUCCGCUAGUAGUGGCGAGCGAACGCGGAAGAGGGCAAACCGGAGGAUUUAUCCUCCGGGGUUGAGGACCGACGCACGAUACAAUAGGUUAGCUGAACGGCAUGGGAAGGCCGACCAGAGCGGGUGAUAGUCCCGUAAGUGAAAACCGAUUUGUGUCAGUUGGGAUCCAGAGUACCGCAGGACACGUGAAACCCUGUGGGAAACUGGGGGGACCACCCUCCAACCCUAAAUACUACUUGAUGACCGAUAGAGGAGCAGUACCGUGAGGGAAAGGUGAAAAGGACCCCGGGAGGGGAGUGAAAGAGAACCUGAAACCUUGUGCUUACAAGCACUCAAAGCCCGUUAAAGGGUGAUGAGGUACUUUUUGUAGAACGGUCCGGCGAGUUAUUGUAUGUAGCAAGCUUAAGGUAUUCAGUACCGGAGGCGAAGCGAGAGCGAGUCUGAACAGGGCGAAAUGAAGUUGCAUGCAAUAGACCCGAAACCAGGUGACCUAUCCAUGAGCAGGUUGAAGUGGAGGUAAAACUCCAUGGAGGACCGAACGCACGUUCGUUGCAAUGACCGGCGAUGACCUGUGGAUAGCGGUGAAAUUCCAAUCGAACCCGGAGAUAGCUGGUUCUCCCCGAAAUAGCUUUAGGGCUAGCGUUAUGUUAGAUUACCGGAGGUAAAGCACUGAAUGGGCUAGGGGCUGAUAAAGUUACUGAACCCUAUCAAACUCAGAAUGCCGGAUAAUUGAUGGUCAGCAGUCAGACUACGUGAGAUAAGUCUCGUGGUCAAAAGGGAAACAGCCCAGACCUACAGCUAAGGUCCCAAAUAUACGCUAAGUGGAAAACGAUGUGGAAUUGCGAAAACAACCAGGAUGUUGGCUUAGAAGCAGCCACUCAUUAAAAGAGUGCGUAAUAGCUCACUGGUCGAGUGACUCUGCGCGGAAAAUGUAACGGGGCUAAGCGUAUAACCGAAGCUUAGGAUGCAGCAAUGCGUGGUAGGGGAGCGUCGAAUACGGGGCGAAGUCGCAGCGGAAGCAGCGGUGGACUGUAUUCGAGUGAGAAUGCCGGAAUGAGUAGCGAGAAUUAUGUGGGAAUCAUAAUGGCCGAAAAUCUAAGGUUUCUUGGGGAAGGUUCGUCCGCCCAAGGUAAGCCGGGAGCUAAGGCGAGGCCGAGAGGCGUAGUCGAUGCACAUACGGUUGAAAUUCCGUAGCCACCGAAAUUUAAACUAGAGGGACACUUGAAACUAUCUGGACCCGGGCGUUGGUUGACCCGGGCGAAAGGGACCGAAAUCAAGUAGGGAAGUCAGAGAACGUCGAGGCGAGAAAAGCUCUAGUGUAUAAUAAGGUGCCCGUACCGCAAACCGACACAGGUAGAUGAGGAGAGGAUCCUAAGGCCAACGGGAGAAGGGUUGUUAAGGAACUCGGCAAAAUGACCCCGUAACUUCGGGAUAAGGGGAGCUCCCUAAGGGGAGCCGCAGAGAAUAGGCCCAAGCGACUGUUUACCAAAAACACAGGUCUAUGCUAAAUCGAAAGAUGACGUAUAUGGGCUGACGCCUGCCCGGUGCUGGAAGGUUAAGAGGAGAUGUCAGGCAACGAAGCAUUGAAUCGAAGCCCCAGUAAACGGCGGCCGUAACUAUAACGGUCCUAAGGUAGCGAAAUUCCUUGUCAGGUAAGUUCUGACCCGCACGAAUGGCGUAACGAUUUGGGCGCUGUCUCAACAGCCCACCCGGCGAAAUUGUAGUACUGGUGAAGAUGCCAGUUACCCGCAACUAGACGGAAAGACCCCAUGGAGCUUUACUGCAGCUUAAUACUGGAAUUCGGUAAUUCAUGUACAGGAUAGGUGGGAGACUGGGAACUACUGUCGUCAGGCAGUAGGGAGUCGCCCUUGGGAUACCACUCUUGAAUUGCUGGGUUUCUAACCUGCGGCCGUGAAUCCGGUCGGGGGACACUGUUAGGCAGACAGUUUGACUGGGGCGGUCGCCUCCUAAAAGGUAACGGAGGCGCUCAAAGGUUGGCUCAGC